Molecule: long non-coding RNA, 1675 nt
Filed under: Felis catus (domestic cat)
Lineage: Eukaryota; Metazoa; Chordata; Mammalia; Carnivora; Felidae
Description: lncRNA (ENSFCAG00000050733.1)
Source: RNAcentral
GGCAGGGCCAGCGGGAAAUAGAGCCUGGAGGUCCUCCUCCCUCUUUUCUGCACACCCUGGGCCUCCAGAUUCUCCACCGGCCCCAAGGCAGUUUGGAUGGAGGCUGAGGGACUCUGCCUCCCAUAUCUCAUCUAUGGUGCCAUUAGAGGAAAGUUCUGUGCGUACUUCUCAGACAUCCGGUGCCCGGAGGGGUAGCUGGCCCCAGAUGCCAGGGCACCCAAUGGGGAGCGUCUUCUCAGGACUCUUUGGAGCUCGUUCUGCUAGGGCAGGAGCAGCCCUGGAGAACAGACUGAGUCUGAAAAAAGCAGCACGCAUCCAUCACUCCUCGCCUACAAGCAGAAACUGUGAAUAUCGUUUUUUUCCCCCUACAUGCUCAAGCCUAGCUGGCUUUUUGAAAGGACCUAUAGUGAAAUGAGACUCGUUUGGAAUGUAAUUCACAGCUCAGGUGAUCAGAAUCAUAAGGACCUCUUUUUUUUUUUUUUUCUUUUUUUAGUGUUUAUUUUUGAAAGAGAGAGACAGAGUGUGAGCCGGGAGGGGCAGAGCGGAAGGGAGACCCAGAAUCCCAAGCAGGCACCAGGCUCCGAGCUGUCAGCGCAGAGCCUGACGCGGGGCUCGAACCCACGAACCCUGAGACCAUGACCUGAGCUGAAGUUGCACGCUCAUCCGACUGAGCCACCCAGGCGUCCCAGCAUCAUAAGGAUUUCUUAAAUGAGAGCUGCAUCGCUGCACGACACUCACCUGCAGUCUCCAAAUGGGCUUCAUGAGCCCCAGGCGAACGUGGGACCAGAAGGGUGGCGGAGGGCAUCUGUCACUGAGGAAAGAGCAUCGUUGUCCCUGCAGACUCCCUGGCUCUGGCUAAGGUUUGCGGCGAGAUCUGCACCCUGUGCACACGAAGUCCAUGCUCUCCCUUGAUCCUUCGGCCCAACUAGACUAUAUUACCCAGACUCCCUUGCAGCAGACUGUUGGCUACCCGCUUCCUUUUUGCCAAUCAAACAUCAGCCAAGCGAUGUGUGCCACUUUCGCGUUCCGGGCUUUAACACAUCAGGCGUGCCACUUCGGGCUGGCUGGAACCUGGUCUAGGUGGAGACUCAGCAGGCAAAGGCAAUGCCCUGGGGCUGGGUCGGCAAACUCCACCCCGAAUCCAGCCCCCGGAGGACCUGGCCACGCCCACCAUUUGAUUACUGCUCUUGCUUGGGAGUUGCGGAGUUGUAACAGAGCCCAGGGUCCGCAGACGUUUGAAUUCAAGAUCCCCGCCCUGGCCUCUUCGAGACCCUCACCUUCAGGAGUACCUGGACGAGGCAGUAAAAAUACGACCUGGCCCUUUGGAUCACGGUGAGACCAGGAUUAGUGCCGGUGGUGAGUGGGGGAAGCAGCGGACUGUGGGGUAAACUGCUUACGUUGUUCCAAGAGGCAGAUGUCUUCCUUCGAGCGAGUGCCAUCCUCCCCAUCCCCCCCAGAGCUCAAGAACCUCUGAAAGCAGGUUGCUAUCCUCUUUGCUCUGCCUGGAGCCCUCAGCGCUUUCUGCUGGACCCAUUUUAUUUGUUCUCCUCGAUCUCCAAAGAGUCUGGCCUCAUUAUAGACGGUGGUAAAGGCUUCCCUCCCCACGGCUCUAUGGGGAGGGAGAUCAGCUGACUUGAUCAAUAGACCCAAACUUUAAUUUUUCUUACCUAGCCGG